RNAcentral lists this ribosomal RNA (30 nucleotides) under Hypomyces aurantius. RNAcentral's name for it is "partial 18S ribosomal RNA". Lineage: Eukaryota; Fungi; Ascomycota; Sordariomycetes; Hypocreales; Hypocreaceae. The record is from RNAcentral. RNAcentral also lists the same sequence under 3 other names.
CCGUAGGUGAACCUGCGGAGGGAUCAUUAC